CGCGACACGAGCAGUCCGGUCCGCGUUCGAAAUUCCGCUGCUGUACUGUUACUGUGAAAUCGUUCCGCGUCAGCUGUUUGCAUGAGGUUACAACUGCAAACAGUACAAACAGAAUCAGCUGACGCGGAACGAUUUCACAGUAACAGCACAGCACCGGAAUUUCGAACGCGGACCGGACUGCUGUACCGCUGCUGGCGUUCCCUCUGGAACACACCCGAGGCCGGCGGCGCUGUCGGCGAGUGCAGCAAGUUGCGAAGUCGCUUACUCAACUCGAGCACGGGAGAUGGCGCCACGGGCUCUACGUCGACCUCGCGGAGUUCGCUCGAUGCCGUUUUCACGGCGGAAUUCUUCUCCUCGGGUCUCGACGGAACAGUAUCUAUGGAUUGAUACUGAUGAAGUAUACAGAAAAUCCACAUAUGCACAGGACGAAUUAAAAAUAGAUGCAGAAAACUUCGAUACUGAUUUGAAUGACAUACUACAAAGAAUGUCAAUAAAAGAUGAAACCUUUAUGUUAUGCGGUGUAGCAAAAUAUGUUCCUCCAUUAGAUUCCAACGGAAUUGGCCACUACUUAGCAUGCUGUUUAACAAAUUAUAACUGGGUGGAAAGAAAUGAUUUAGUUAAAUACAAUAAAAUUGUAUCACUUCAUCCAUCAAAAAUCAAAAUAAGUGGCAUAUUAUACGUCAAAAGUGUGCAUUUAAAAUAAUCUAACCUCUUGCAAAAAAAAAAAUGAAGAAGCAAGACCAAAAAGAAAUUUCUAUUAAGCUAAUUAUGAAAUUCACUUGAUUAUGAUCUCAUAAACUAUAUUUAUUUAAAUUAUUGUUAAAUACUUACGUCAUUACAAAGUAAACUUCCAAGCCAAGAGGAAGCAACUAACUAUUUUAAUAGGUGUUACUGACUAGUCACGGAAUCAUGGAGAUUUCAUCUUUCUGCUGAUUUGCUCCAAAAUUAUAUAGUCCGUGUUGAUUGGGCCUGUUUAAGCAUACAUACAUUUGAAAAAAAAAGAAAUGUAAAUAUUUAUUAAUAAAAUAGCUAUGUUUUAUGUUUUA
This is a long non-coding RNA of Nasonia vitripennis (jewel wasp), 1046 nucleotides long. RefSeq lists it as uncharacterized. The transcript is spliced from 2 exons. NCBI's taxonomy places the organism in Eukaryota, Metazoa, Arthropoda, Insecta, Hymenoptera, Pteromalidae. The record is from RefSeq and is a predicted model, not a curated record.